GCAAGGAUGACAUGCAAAUUCGUAAAGUGUUCCAUA
Molecule: small nuclear RNA, 36 nt
Filed under: Cervus elaphus hippelaphus
Lineage: Eukaryota; Metazoa; Chordata; Mammalia; Artiodactyla; Cervidae
Source: RNAcentral